This 484-nucleotide ribosomal RNA is filed under the name uncultured bacterium. RNAcentral describes it as "partial 16S ribosomal RNA". It matches the Rfam family "Bacterial small subunit ribosomal RNA", at positions 30 to 507 of the family's 1533-position model. The record is from RNAcentral.
AUUGAACGCUGGCGGCAGGCCUAACACAUGCAAGUCGAGCGGAUGAAGGGAGCUUGCUCCUGGAUUCAGCGGCGGACGGGUGAGUAAUGCCUAGGAAUCUGCCUGGUAGUGGGGGAUAACGUCCGGAAACGGGCGCUAAUACCGCAUACGUCCUGAGGGAGAAAGUGGGGGAUCUUCGGACCUCACGCUAUCAGAUGAGCCUAGGUCGGAUUAGCUAGUUGGUGGGGUAAAGGCCUACCAAGGCGACGAUCCGUAACUGGUCUGAGAGGAUGAUCAGUCACACUGGAACUGAGACACGGUCCAGAGUCCUACGGGAGGCAGCAGUGGGGAAUAUUGGACAGUGGGCGAAAGCCUGAUCCAGCCAUACCGCGUGUGUGAAGAAGGUCUUCGGAUUGUAAAGCACUUUAAGUUGGGAGGAAGGGCAGUAAGUUAAUACCUUGCUGUUUUGACGUUACCAACAGAAUAAGCACCGGCUAACUUCGUG